CAGGACGAUCGCUGGCGGCGUGCUUAACAGAUGCAAGUCGAACGCUGAUGCCUGGUGCUUGCACCGGGUGGAUGAGUGGCGAACGGGUGAGUUAUACGUGAGUGACCUGCCUUUGACUCUGGGAUAAGCCUGGGAAUCUGGGUCUAAUAGCGGAUGCGACUACUGGCCGCAUGGGCUGGUGGAAAGGGUUAUGUACUGGUCUUAGAUGGGCUCACGGCCUAUCAGCUGGUUGGUGGGGUAUUGGCCUACCAAGGCGACGACGGGUAGCCGGCCUGAGAGGGUGACCGGCCACACUGGGACUGAGACACGGCCCAGACUCCUACGGGAGGCAGCAGUGGGGAAUAUUGCACAAUGGGCGCAAGCCUGAUGCAGCGACGCGGCGUCAGGGAUGACGGCCUUCGGGUUGUAAACCUCUUUCAGGAGGGAAGAAGCGGAAGUGACGGUACCUGCAGAAGAUGCGCCGGCUAACUACGUGCCAGCAGCCGCGGUAAUUCGUAGGGCGCAAGCGUUGUCCGGAAUUAUUGGGCGUAAAGAGCUCGUAGGCGGCUUGUCGCGUCUGCUGUGAAAGCCCGGGGCUUAACUCCGGGUGUGCAGUGGGUACGGGCAGGCUAGAGUGCAGUAGGGGUAACUGGAAUUCCUGGUGUAGCGGUGAAAUGCGCAGAUAUCAGGAGGAACACCGAUGGCGAAGGCAGGUUACUGGGCUGUUACUGACGCUGAGGAGCGAAAGCAUGGGGAGCGAACAGGAUUAGAUACCCUGGUAGUCCAUGCCGUAAACGUUGGGCACUAGGUGUGGGGGACAUUCCACGUUUUCCGCGCCGUAGCUAACGCGUUAAGUUCCCCGCCGGGGGAGUACGGUCGCAAGACUGAAACUCAAUGGAAUUGACGGGGGCCCGCACAAGCGGUGGAGUAUGUGGAUUAUUUCGAUGCAACGCGAAAAACCUUACCAGGGCUUGACAUGCACCGGAUCUUUCCAGAGAUGGAUUCGUCCCUUCGGGAACCGUGACACAGGUGGUGCAUGGCUGUCGUCAGCUCGUGUCGUGAGAUGUUGGGUUAAGUCCCGCAACGAGCGCAACCCUUGUCCUAUGUUGCCAGCACGUAAUGGUGGGAACUCAUAGGAGACUGCCGGUGUCAAACCGGAGGAAGGUGGGGAUGACGUCAAGUCAUCAUGCCCCUUACGGCCAGGGCUUCACACGUACUACAAUGGUCGGGACAGAGGGCUGCAAGCCGGCGACGGUGGAGCCAAUCCCAGAAACCCGAUCCCAGUCCGGAUCGGAGUCUGCAACUCGACUCCGUGAAGUCGGAAUCGCUAGUAAUCGCGGAUCAGCAAUGCCGCGGUGAAUACGUUCGCGGGCCUUGUA
RNAcentral lists this ribosomal RNA (1358 nucleotides) under Kocuria sp. Its description in RNAcentral is "bacterial SSU rRNA". It matches the Rfam family "Bacterial small subunit ribosomal RNA", at positions 25 to 1385 of the family's 1533-position model. The record is from RNAcentral. Lineage: Bacteria; Bacillati; Actinomycetota; Actinomycetes; Micrococcales; Micrococcaceae.